This 1363-nucleotide long non-coding RNA is filed under the name Taeniopygia guttata (zebra finch). RNAcentral describes it as "lncRNA (ENSTGUG00000019802.1)". The record is from RNAcentral. Lineage: Eukaryota; Metazoa; Chordata; Aves; Passeriformes; Estrildidae.
UCUGCAUGCAGAAUAGUGUGUUUGACUACAAAGAUGUCGUAUGUAAUGCACUCCAUUUUGAAGACCAGCUAUUUCUUUGACAAAGUAGUGGAAAUAGGUUUAUUAAAAGUACAGAAUCUGAGAACAACAUCAGAAGCUUCUUUCAUAAAUCUGUUCUUACAGCUGCUUGAUCGUGUGGCUGAAGAAAAAGCUAUUCACUGUGAAGUCUGCGCAGCUUAUCAGUGGCCUUUGCCAAAGGAAGAUCCAGCUGUUUCUGCCUGCCUGCACCAGUAAAUACACUAUCCUAUGCUGAUGAAUACAUCCUGGUGCUGUAGGUUAUUCUUGUGCUCAAAAGCAAGGUGAUGUGUUGUGUAUAGGGUAUUCCUGUAACCCCAAGUUACCCUUUGACCAAGCUUUUUGAAUAAAAUUUUAGUGCACUGGGAUUUUUCUGCAGGGAGCCAUGAUGCCCAGGACUAUUAUAUUACAUUGCUUAGAUCAUAAAAAUCGCGAUAAUUUUUUAUUUUUGCCUUUUUCAUAAAAAACCUUAAAUAUCAAGCUUUGAAACAUUUUAAUGAAAGGAAAGUGUUUUAAGUAACUAAGUUUUUUGUUGUUGUUGUUGUUUCUUCUGUCUGGAAACAAUUAUUAUUUAUCUUGAUAAUGCCAAUAGUAACCCUAGGCUGAUAAAGUGUGUGCUUUAUGCCCCAUAACAAAGUUUUCAGAAUGCUCCAUAAAUAUAGCAGAGAGCCUAAGACUAUUAAUGUCACAUACAGCUGCAAGAUUAAAAUACCUGCUUGCUAGUAAUUCUUGAUUAAUGUCUUCUGUUUGUUCAAGAGGCUCUUUAACACUUUAAAAUGUCCACGAAGUAUCUGUGCAUAUGUGUACACAUAUAUCUGAGAAUGAAUGAGUCUUUCUGGGGGUUCCAUCUUUCAGUGUUUUAAUUUUUUAAAGUUACUGUUCCUCCUGGAUGAUCAGCAUUGCAUUUAUAGAAGUUACAUCAAUCAUCUGAUUAAAAGGACAAUUCUUUGGUAUUUUUCCAAUGCUACGUGUUAAACCAUUUAGUAAUAUUUUAUUUUUUAAAAAAGCUAAAAUUAACUCAGACAAUGGCAUUUUUUUAUGUGAAAGUAUUUUUAUUGGUAAUAGUUUCUCAGUGUUUUUGUAAAACAGUGAAACACACACAAAAAAAUUGUUGGAGGUAUUUUGAUUUCAUCACUGGUGUUAUUAACCUUUUGGACCUUGGGUUUUAUGCCUUCUGACCAAAAGGCAUAUGUACCUCUUGGACCAGAAACCCUUUCAUUUUUAUUUGAACCAGAGAAUGGCCAGAUCUGUUUGAGCAGGCUUGUGCUCUCCCAGUGCUGAUUCUAUAAAAAUAAAUCUUGUGUUACCU